RNAcentral lists this ribosomal RNA (253 nucleotides) under uncultured bacterium. Its description in RNAcentral is "partial 16S ribosomal RNA". It matches the Rfam family "Bacterial small subunit ribosomal RNA", at positions 524 to 776 of the family's 1533-position model. The record is from RNAcentral.
AACGUAGGUUCCGAGCGUUAUCCGGAAUUACUGGGCGUAAAGCGUGCGUAGGUGGUUCGUUAAGUCCGAUGUGAAAGCCCUGGGCUCAACCUGGGAAUGGCAUUGGAUACUGGCGGGCUAGAGUGCGGUAGAGGGCAGUGGAAUUCCCGGUGUAGCAGUGAAAUGCGUAGAGAUCGGGAGGAACAUCUGUGGCGAAGGCGACUGCCUGGACCAGCACUGACACUGAGGCACGAAAGCGUGGGGAGCAAACGGG